Molecule: ribosomal RNA, 253 nt
Filed under: uncultured bacterium
Lineage: Bacteria
Description: partial 16S ribosomal RNA
Rfam family: Bacterial small subunit ribosomal RNA
Source: RNAcentral
UACGAAGGGUGCAAACGUUGCUCGGAAUUAUUGGGCGUAAAGCGCACGUAGGCGGUAUUGCAAGUCGGAUGUGAAAUCCCUCGGCUUAACCAAGGAAGUGCAUCCGAAACUGCCGUACUUGAGUACGAAAGAGGAUCGCGGAAUUCCCGGUGUAGAGGUGAAAUUCGUAGAUAUCGGGAGGAACACCAGUGGCGAAGGCGGCGAUCUGGGUCGAUACUGACGCUGAGGUGCGAAAGCGUGGGGAGCAAACAGG